AUUGAACGCUGGCGGAAUGCUUUACACAUGCAAGUCGAGCGGCAGCGCGGCCUUCGGGCUCGCUUCCAGCGGCGGACGGGUGGGUAAUGCAUCGGAACAUCCCCAUUCGUUGUGUAUAACACUUCGACGGAAGUGCUCAUACCCCAUACGUCCUGACGGCGAAAGCGGGGGAUCACAAGACCUCCCGCGCUUGCAGUGUCCGAUGUCAGAUUAGCUAGUUGGUGGGGUAAAGGCCUACCAAGGCGACGAUCUGUAGCUGGUCUGAGAGGAUGAUCAGCCACACUGGAACUGAGACACGGACCAGACUCCUACGGGAGGCAGCAGUGGGGAAUUUUGGACAAUGGGGGCAAGCCUGAUCCAGCCAUUCCGCGUGAGUGAAGAAGGCCUUCGGGUUGUAAAGCUCUUUUGUCAGGAAAGAAAAGGUGGGGUCUAACACAGUGCGGUAAUGACGGUACCUGAAGAAGAAGCACCGGCUAACUACGUG
RNAcentral lists this ribosomal RNA (484 nucleotides) under uncultured bacterium. RNAcentral's name for it is "partial 16S ribosomal RNA". It matches the Rfam family "Bacterial small subunit ribosomal RNA", at positions 30 to 507 of the family's 1533-position model. The record is from RNAcentral.